This 372-nucleotide ribosomal RNA is filed under the name uncultured organism. RNAcentral describes it as "bacterial SSU rRNA". It matches the Rfam family "Bacterial small subunit ribosomal RNA", at positions 526 to 896 of the family's 1533-position model. The record is from RNAcentral.
CAGAGGGGGCAAGCGUUGUUCGGAAUUACUGGGCGUAAAGGGCGCGUAGGCGGCCUUCUAAGUCGAACGUGAAAUCCCCGGGCUCAACCCGGGAACUGCGUCCGAUACUGGAAGGCUUGAAUCCGGGAGAGGGAUGCGGAAUUCCAGGUGUAGCGGUGAAAUGCGUAGAUAUCUGGAGGAACACCGGUGGCGAAGGCGGCAUCCUGGACCGGCAUUGACGCUGAGGCGCGAAAGCUAGGGGAGCAAACGGGAUUAGAUACCCCGGUAGUCCUAGCCCUAAACGAUGAAUGCUUGGUGUGGCGGGUAUCGAUCCCUGCCGCGCCGAAGCUAACGCAUUAAGCAUUCCGCCUGGGGAGUACGGUCGCAAGGCUG